GUCCUUUCUGGUUAUAAUACAUGGUUUCACCACUGUCAACUACUUUGCGAAAGUUUGUUUGAAUUAUUGAAAUUAAAGGGUGGUACUGAAGGAUCCAGGUGGAAUAACUCAUCACAUAAGAGAGCUUUCAUGCACAGAGCCAGACUAUCUACAUCUCUUGCCAUUGGACCAAUUGUUGCUGUCACUAUAAAGGAAACAGGAUCUCCAAUGAAAUGGACUGCAUGAAACAAGUCAGGUCCUGGAGCUGUUCCUCACAUCCAUGAAGAAAAUCUGUCACACAGUUCACCUCCUGGGUUACUUCAAGAGCCUGGUCCAGAAGGGGAAACAUCAUUUAUUAAAUAAAUCAAAUUAAGCUGGAGUCAAACUUUGUAUUCUGGAAAAUCCAGCUGUUGACCCAGAGGAUAGAUG
Thamnophis elegans (Western terrestrial garter snake) is the source of this 408-nucleotide long non-coding RNA. RefSeq lists it as uncharacterized. The record is from RefSeq and is a predicted model, not a curated record. NCBI's taxonomy places the organism in Eukaryota, Metazoa, Chordata, Lepidosauria, Squamata, Natricidae. The transcript has 3 exons.